CCUACGGGGCGCAGCAGUGGGGAAUAUUGGACAAUGGGCGAAAGCCUGAUCCAGCCAUGCCGCGUGUGUGAAGAAGGCCUUCGGGUUGUAAAGCACUUUCAGUGGGGAAGAAAGCCUUGGGGCUAAUACCCUCGAGGAAGGACAUCACCCACAGAAGAAGCACCGGCUAACUCCGUGCCAGCAGCCGCGGUAAUACGGAGGGUGCGAGCGUUAAUCGGAAUUACUGGGCGUAAAGCGCGCGUAGGCGGUCUGAUAAGCCGGUUGUGAAAGCCCCGGGCUCAACCUGGGAACGGCAUCCGGAACUGGCAGGCUAGAGUGCAGGAGAGGAAGGUAGAAUUCCCGGUGUAGCGGUGAAAUGCGUAGAGAUCGGGAGGAAUACCAGUGGCGAAGGCGGCCUUCUGGACUGACACUGACGCUGAGGUGCGAAAGCGUGGGUAGCAAACAGGAUUAGAUACCCGUGUAGUC
Molecule: ribosomal RNA, 465 nt
Filed under: Vreelandella stevensii
Lineage: Bacteria; Pseudomonadati; Pseudomonadota; Gammaproteobacteria; Oceanospirillales; Halomonadaceae
Description: partial 16S ribosomal RNA
Rfam family: Bacterial small subunit ribosomal RNA
Source: RNAcentral